CACGUAGGAGGCGAGCGUUGUCCGGAAUCAUUGGGCGUAAAGAGCGCGCAGGCGGCCCGGCAAGUCGGGUGUGAAAUCCCGGGGCUCAACCCCGGGACUGCAUUCGAUACUGCCGGGCUAGAGGUAGGUAGGGGAGAUCGGAAUUCCUGGUGUAGCGGUGAAAUGCGUAGAUAUCGAGAGGAACACCUGCGGCGAAGGCGGGUUGCUGGGCUGAUACUGACGCUGAGGCGCGAAAGCCAGGGGAGCGAACGGG
RNAcentral lists this ribosomal RNA (253 nucleotides) under uncultured bacterium. RNAcentral's name for it is "partial 16S ribosomal RNA". It matches the Rfam family "Bacterial small subunit ribosomal RNA", at positions 524 to 776 of the family's 1533-position model. The record is from RNAcentral.